Molecule: ribosomal RNA, 1335 nt
Filed under: uncultured bacterium
Lineage: Bacteria
Description: bacterial SSU rRNA
Rfam family: Bacterial small subunit ribosomal RNA
Source: RNAcentral
GACGAACGCUGGCGGCGCGCCUAACACAUGCAAGUCAAACGGAGCUUAGAGAGCUUGCUUUUUAAGCUUAGUGGCGAACGGGUGAGUAACGCGUGAGUAACCUGCCCUAUAGUGGGGGACAACAGUUGGAAACGACUGCUAAUACCGCAUCAGCCCACGGUACCUCAUGGUACUGAGGGAAAAGGAUUUAUUCGCUUUAGGAUGGACUCGCGUCCAAUUAGCUAGUUGGUGAGGUAACGGCCCACCAAGGCGACGAUUGGAAGCCGGACUGAGAGGUUGAACGGCCACAUUGGGACUGACACACGGCCCAGACUCCUACGGGAGGCAGCAGUGGGGGAUAUUGCAUAAUGGGGGAAACCCUGAUGCAGCGACGCCGCGUGGAGGAAGAAGGUUUUCUGAUUGUAAACUCCUGUCGUUAGGGACGAUAAUGACGGUACCUAACGAGAAAGCACCGGCUAACUACGUGCCAGCAGCCGCGGUAAAACGUAGUGGUGCAAGCGUUGUCCGGAAUUACUGGGUGUAAAGGGAGCGCAGGCGGGAAGACAAGUUGGAAGUGAAAACUAUGGGCUCAACCCAUGAAUUGCUUUCAAAACUGUUUUUCUUGAGUAGUGCAGAGGUAGAUGGAAUUCCCGGUGUAGCGGUGGAAUGCGUAGAUAUCGGGAGGAACACCAGUGGCGAAGGCGGUCUACUGGGCACCAACUGACGCUGAGGCUCGAAAGCAUGGGUAGCAAACAGGAUUAGAUACCCUGGUAGUCCAUGCCGUAAACGAUGAUUACUAGGUGUUGGGGGAUUGACCCCCUCAGUGCCGCAGUUAACACAAUAAGUAAUCCACCUGGGGAGUACGACCGCAAGGUUGAAACUCAAAGGAAUUGACGGGGGCCCGCACAAGCAGUGGAGUAUGUGGUUUAAUUCGAAGCAACGCGAAGAACCUUACCAGGUCUUGACAUCCGAUGCAUAGCACAGAGAUGUGUGAAAUCCUUCGGGACAUCGAGACAGGUGGUGCAUGGUUGUCGUCAGCUCGUGUCGUGAGAUGUUGGGUUAAGUCCCGCAACGAGCGCAACCCUUAUUGCCAGUUACUACGUUAAGAGGACUCUGGCGAGACUGCCGUUGACAAAACGGAGGAAGGUGGGGAUGACGUCAAAUCAUCAUGCCCUUUAUGACCUGGGCUACACACGUACUACAAUGGCGUUAAACAAAGAGAAGCAAGACCGCGAGGUGGAGCAAAACUCAAAAACAACGUCUCAGUUCAGAUUGCAGGCUGCAACUCGCCUGCAUGAAGUCGGAAUUGCUAGUAAUCGCGGAUCAGCAUGCCGCGGUGAAUACGUUCCCGGGCCU